UACGGAGGGAGCUAGCGUUGUUCGGAAUUACUGGGCGUAAAGCGCACGUAGGCGGCCAUUCAAGUCAGAGGUGAAAGCCCGGGGCUCAACCCCGGAACUGCCUUUGAAACUAGAUAGCUUGAAUCUUGGAGAGGCGAGUGGAAUUCCGAGUGUAGAGGUGAAAUUCGUAGAUAUUCGGAAGAACACCAGUGGCGAAGGCGACUCGCUGGACAAGUAUUGACGCUGAGGUGCGAAAGCGUGGGGAGCAAACAGG
Molecule: ribosomal RNA, 253 nt
Filed under: uncultured bacterium
Lineage: Bacteria
Description: partial 16S ribosomal RNA
Rfam family: Bacterial small subunit ribosomal RNA
Source: RNAcentral